GAUGAACGCUGGCGGCGUGCCUAAUACAUGCAAGUCGAGCGAACGGACGAGAAGCUUGCUUCUCUGAUGUUAGCGGCGGACGGGUGAGUAACACGUGGAUAACCUACCUAUAAGACUGGGAUAACUUCGGGAAACCGGAGCUAAUACCGGAUGAUAUUUUGAACCGCAUGGUUCAAGAGUGAAAGACGGUCUUGCUGUCACUUAUAGAUGGAUCCGCGCUGCAUUAGCUAGUUGGUAAGGUAACGGCUUACCAAGGCAACGAUGCAUAGCCGACCUGAGAGGGUGAUCGGCCACACUGGAACUGAGACACGGUCCAGACUCCUACGGGAGGCAGCAGUAGGGAAUCUUCCGCAAUGGGCGAAAGCCUGACGGAGCAACGCCGCGUGAGUGAUGAAGGUCUUCGGAUCGUAAAACUCUGUUAUUAGGGAAGAACAUAUGUGUAAGUAACUGUGCACAUCUUGACGGUACCUAAUCAGAAAGCCACGGCCAACUACGUG
RNAcentral lists this ribosomal RNA (497 nucleotides) under uncultured bacterium. Its description in RNAcentral is "partial 16S ribosomal RNA". It matches the Rfam family "Bacterial small subunit ribosomal RNA", at positions 28 to 507 of the family's 1533-position model. The record is from RNAcentral.